This is a long non-coding RNA of Ictalurus punctatus (channel catfish), 775 nucleotides long. Lineage: Eukaryota; Metazoa; Chordata; Actinopteri; Siluriformes; Ictaluridae. The record is from Ensembl.
ACUGCAGUGUCUGUGCAUCCCGGUCUAUUUAAUGGCCAAUAUCUGAUUACAAACUAGAUCAGUGCCAACCCAUCACAGUGCACAAUUGCACACACAUUCACAAUCUAUGGAAAAUUUGGCAAUGCCAAUCAGCCUACAAUGCAUGUCUUUUGUCUAGGGGAGGAAGCCUGAGUACCUGGAGGAAUCCAUCGAAGCAUGGGGAGAACAAGCAAGCUGCGCACACAGGGAAGAAGUGCGCUUUGAACGCCUUACCCUGGAGGCGUGAGUCAAAAGUGCUAACCACUAAGUCACCGUGCUCCCCAUGGAACAUCAUUUGUUCUUGCUUUCGAUUAGAACCAGAACUACUGUCUGAGCUGCUGCUGUAGAAAAUUAAUCAACACUUUCUGACCAAUCAGACACAUUUACUGUGCCAGGCUUCCUGAUCUUGUGGUGCCAUGAAGUGAAAGGACCAACCAGUGUUUGUGUGUCGCCCAACCCUUGAGUCCUGAUUGGUGCAGUUGGUUACAAAGGAGCUUACUCAGUGGAAAAAAGCAGUGGGUGUCUUGAGGCAUCACAGCCUAUUAGAGCAAUAAAAGCCAAAGCUACUCAACAGCCCAGUCAGGUUCCACCAGCUAAACUCAGUCAUGCAAUGAAGGACUGAAGGAGGGUUUGCACAAAUGUCUACAAAUCAUACUGACUAUUCAUUCAACCAAUCAGUUGAUGGUCAAACAGCAGAAGAAUGAGAGGGAUUUUGUUGAAGAUAAAGAAGACUUCUAAUAAACUGCGCCUACAGUAG